Molecule: ribosomal RNA, 112 nt
Filed under: Anolis carolinensis (green anole)
Lineage: Eukaryota; Metazoa; Chordata; Lepidosauria; Squamata; Anolidae
Source: RNAcentral
GUCUAAAUAUCCUAAAGGCACCAGAGCCUAUUUGAUAUUGGAAGCUAAAUAGGGUCAGUCCUGGUUAGUACAUGGAUGGAAGACUGCCAAUGAAUAUCAGGUAUAAUAGGCU